CCUGGUGAUUAUAGCGAGAGCUGAACCACACGUUCCCAUCCCGAACACGACCGUGAAAACUCUUAGCGCUGAUGGUACU
RNAcentral lists this ribosomal RNA (79 nucleotides) under Azospirillum brasilense. The record is from RNAcentral. Lineage: Bacteria; Pseudomonadati; Pseudomonadota; Alphaproteobacteria; Rhodospirillales; Azospirillaceae.